This 297-nucleotide signal recognition particle RNA is filed under the name Aotus nancymaae (Ma's night monkey). RNAcentral's name for it is "Metazoan signal recognition particle RNA (ENSANAG00000014536.1)". It matches the Rfam family "Metazoan signal recognition particle RNA". From Rfam's summary of the family: The signal recognition particle (SRP) is a universally conserved ribonucleoprotein. It is involved in the co-translational targeting of proteins to membranes. Lineage: Eukaryota; Metazoa; Chordata; Mammalia; Primates; Aotidae. The record is from RNAcentral.
GCCGGGUGUGGCGGCACGUGCCUGUAGUCCCAGCUACUCCAGAGGCUGAGGUGGGAGGAUCACUUGAGCCCAGGAGUUCUGGGCUGUAGUGCGCUACGCCAGUCAGGUAUCCACACUAAGUUUGGCAUCAAUAUGAUGACCUUCCGGGAGUGGGGACCACCAGGUUGUCUAAGGAGGGUUGAUCUGGCCCAGGUUGGAAACGGAGCAGGUCAAAACUCUGUGCUGAUCAGUAGUGGGAUUGCACCUUUGAAUAGCCACGGCACUCUAGCCUGGGCAACAUAGCGAGACCCCGUCUCU